CCUACGGGUGGCAGCAGUGAGGAAUAUUGGUCAAUGGGCGCGAGCCUGAACCAGCCAAGUCGCGUGCGGGAGGACGGCCCUACGGGUUGUAAACCUCUUUUGCCGGGGAGCAACGGGCGUCACGUGUGGCGCCACUGAGAGUACCCGGAGAAAAAGCAUCGGCUAACUCCGUGCCAGCAGCCGCGGUAAUACGGAGGAUGCGAGCGUUAUCCGGAUUUAUUGGGUUUAAAGGGAUCGUAGACGGCAAGGCAAGCCAGAAGUGAAAGGGCAGGGCUCAACCCUGUAAAUGCUUUUGGAACUGUGGUGCUAGAGUGCAGGAGAGGUAAGUGGAAUUCCUAGUGUAGCGGUGAAAUGCGUAGAUAUUAGGAGGAACACCAGUGGCGAAGGCGGCUUACUGGACUGUAACUGACGUUGAGGCUCGAAAGCGUGGGGAGCAAACAGGAUUAGAUACCCCUGUAGUC
This 461-nucleotide ribosomal RNA is filed under the name uncultured bacterium. Its description in RNAcentral is "partial 16S ribosomal RNA". It matches the Rfam family "Bacterial small subunit ribosomal RNA", at positions 338 to 795 of the family's 1533-position model. The record is from RNAcentral.